AAGUAUGUCAACCCUCCCACAGCUAAAGUGAAGACUGAGAUUGAACACAGCACACUAGAAAAUAAAUUGUCCUCUUUGCUUCCUUCCUUCCUUCCUUUUGCCCUCUUCAUUCUUUCCUUCCUUCUUUUCUUUCCUUCUUUCCUUUUUUUCUCCCUCUCUCUCAUUUUAUUUUUCUUUCUUUCUUUCCUUCCUUCCUUCCUUCCUUCCUUCCUUCCUUCCUUCCUUCCUUCCUUCCUUUCUUUCUUUCUUUCUUUCCUUUCUUCCUUCCUUCCUUCCUUUCUUUCCUUCUGCCUUUCCUUACUUUUUCUUCCUUCCUUCCUUCCUUUCCUUUUUAUCUCUUCCUUCCUCUCUCCCCUUCGCUUCCUUCCUCCUUCCUUCCUUUCUUUCCUUCCUUCUUUCUUUCUUUCCUUCUUUCUUUCUUUCUUUCUUUCUUUCUUUCUUUCUUUCUUUCCUUCCUUCCUUCUUUCUUUCUUUCUUUCUUUCUUUCUUUCUUUCUUUCUUUCUUUCUUUCUUUCUUUCUUUCUUUCUUUCUUUCUUUCUUUCUUUCUUUCUUUCUUUCUUUCUAUCUUUCUUUCUUUCUCAGAAAGGACUUUUUUAUCAUCUUUCUCUUCAACUACUACUGAUUCUUCUCACCCACCAUCUGAAUUCCAAGCCCAAACUAGAAUCCAGAAUGUUAAGUGAAACAGCUGCAGUAGAAGGAAAUGAACCUUGAGCUGGAGUCAGAGUCUGGCUGGCAAUGCCUGAUUGGGCCUCAGCUGCUCAUUUGAGAAAUGGGAAUUGGGAAGGGGGAUGGACUAUAUGUUCUCCAAGCACCAUUCCUGCUCUGAAUCUAGGGUCCUGUGGGAAAACUAUAGGUUGAGUAAGCAGUAGGACUGGAACCUAGGUCUUCCCUACUCCAAGUCCACUCCCAUACACACCCUUUUCAGGAAUGGUAAGAGUCUUUGCAAGAUCAGAAUAAUAUCUAGUUAGGGGAUGAAGGGAGGAGGGUUUCAAAUUCUUGGGGUUCUUAACUUGGUCCUCCCACUCUAGUCACCUUGCUGGCUGUUGCUCUCCAAAUGAGAGUCCCUACCAGAAAGUUAUCUGGAUCACCAAAUUGAAGUACCCAGAAAAUGUGGGGAGAGCAUGUAAUACACCUGACCUCCAAGAGCUCUUUGAGGAAAUGAUCCACUGGGAACUCUGCAGUGACCUUCAGAAGGAGAGUCCCCAAGAAGAUUCCAUCAGAUCCUGACCCCUAGCCCCCAUACAGCACCAGAGACCCUCCUGGUCACUGAGUAGAACCCUAAAGCUGGAAAGGGCUCCCAAAAUUCUAAAAAGAUCCUGACCUCCACCUCCCCCCUAAUUCCAAUCACUUCACCACCUUGACAACCCAAGAUAAAGAGAAGCUUCAUGUGGGAGGUAGCCUUGAUUAAACUUAGAAUUCCAGGAAGCAUGGGAAUAGAAGGAAAGGGGAAAAGAAAGGAGUGAUGAGGGAGAAGGUGAAAGAAAAAGGAGGAUGUAGGGGAAGAGGAAAAGAUGAGGAAAGAAAAGGGAGGGGGAAAGGGAAAAUGGGGAGAAGGGGAGGGGAAAGGAAGAGAAAAAGGUGGGAAAGGAGGAGAAGAGGGGGAAAAGAGGUGAAGAGGAAUGAGGGAAGGAAAGAGGAAGAAGUAAGAGAAAGAAGUGGGAAAGGAGAUGGGGAGGGGAG
Long non-coding RNA from Monodelphis domestica (gray short-tailed opossum), 1681 nucleotides. The record is from Ensembl. NCBI's taxonomy places the organism in Eukaryota, Metazoa, Chordata, Mammalia, Didelphimorphia, Didelphidae.